AGCUUGCUAGAUGCUGACGAGCGGCGGACGGGUGAGUAAUGCAUAGGAAUCUGCCCGGUAGUGGGGGAUAACCUGGGGAAACCCAGGCUAAUACCGCAUACGUCCUACGGGAGAAAGGGGGCUCCGGCUCCCGCUAUUGGAUGAGCCUAUGUCGGAUUAGCUAGUUGGUGAGGUAAUGGCUCACCAAGGCAACGAUCCGUAGCUGGUCUGAGAGGAUGAUCAGCCACAUCGGGACUGAGACACGGCCCGAACUCCUACGGGAGGCAGCAGUGGGGAAUAUUGGACAAUGGGCGCAAGCCUGAUCCAGCCAUGCCGCGUGUGUGAAGAAGGCCCUCGGGUUGUAAAGCACUUUCAGCGAGGAAGAACGCCUAGUGGUUAAUACCCAUUAGGAAAGACAUCACUCGCAGAAGAAGCACCGGCUAACUCCGUGCCAGCAGCCGCGGUAAUACGGAGGGUGCAAGCGUUAAUCGGAAUUACUGGGCGUAAAGCGCGCGUAGGUGGCUUGAUAAGCCGGUUGUGAAAGCCCCGGGCUCAACCUGGGAACGGCAUCCGGAACUGUCAAGCUAGAGUGCAGGAGAGGAAGGUAGAAUUCCCGGUGUAGCGGUGAAAUGCGUAGAGAUCGGGAGGAAUACCAGUGGCGAAGGCGGCCUUCUGGACUGACACUG
The sequence is a ribosomal RNA, 665 nucleotides long. It matches the Rfam family "Bacterial small subunit ribosomal RNA", at positions 75 to 742 of the family's 1533-position model.